UAGAGUUUGAUCCUGGCUCAGGAUGAACGCUGGCGGCGUGCUUAACACAUGCAAGUCGAACGAAAAACCAAGAUUUUCGAAUUUUGGUGGAUUAGUGGCGAACGGGUGAGUAACACGUUGGUGACCAACCCCGAGGAGGGGGACAACUGUGGGAAACUACAGCUAAUACCCCGGAUGCUCAGAUGUUUAGAAAGUCUGAGUUAAAGCUCCGGUGCCUCGGGACGGGCCUGCGGGCUAUCAGCUUGUUGGUGGGGUAAUGGCCUACCAAGGCGAAGACGGCUAGGGGGCGUGAGAGCGUGGCCCCCCACAAUGGAACUGAGACACGGUCCAUACUCCUACGGGAGGCAGCAGUGAGGAAUAUUGCGCAAUGGGGGAAACCCUGACGCAGCAACGCCGCGUGGGUGAUGAAGGCUUUCGGGUCGUAAAACCCUUUUCUGGGGACGAAACCAGACGGUACCCCAGGAAUAAGUCCCGGCUAACUACGUGCCAGCAGCCGCGGUAAACGUAGGGGCGAGCGUUAUCCGGAAUUAUUGGGCGUAAGCGCACGUAGCGGCAUGGUAAGUUGGACGUGAAAGCUCUCGGCUUACUGGAGAGAGGUCGUUCAAA
RNAcentral lists this ribosomal RNA (606 nucleotides) under uncultured organism. RNAcentral's name for it is "bacterial SSU rRNA". It matches the Rfam family "Bacterial small subunit ribosomal RNA", at positions 1 to 631 of the family's 1533-position model. The record is from RNAcentral.